GGUCAAGUGAAUAAGAGCAUGUGGUGGAUGCCUUGGCAAUGAUAGGCGACGAAAGACGUGAUAGCCUGCGAUAAGCUUCGGGGAGCUGGCAAAUAGCUUUGAUCCGGAGAUUUCCGAAUGGGGAAACCCACCCCGCGAGGGGUAACUCUGACUGAAUACAUAGGUCAUUGUGGCGAACCGGGUGAACUGAAACAUCUCAGUAGCUCGAGGAAAAGACAUCAACCGAGAUUCCGAAAGUAGCGGCGAGCGAAAUUGGAGUAGCCUUUACGUUUUAGCAUCGUGUAUAUCAGAACGGAAUGGAAAGUCCGGCCAUAGCGGGUGAUAGCCCCGUAUGAGAAAUGCUGCGGUGUGGAACUAAGCGUAA
This 364-nucleotide non-coding RNA is filed under the name Daphnia magna. RNAcentral's name for it is "Bacterial large subunit ribosomal RNA". It matches the Rfam family "Bacterial large subunit ribosomal RNA", at positions 1 to 415 of the family's 2925-position model. Lineage: Eukaryota; Metazoa; Arthropoda; Branchiopoda; Diplostraca; Daphniidae. The record is from Rfam by way of RNAcentral.